RNAcentral lists this microRNA precursor (69 nucleotides) under Marmota monax (woodchuck). Lineage: Eukaryota; Metazoa; Chordata; Mammalia; Rodentia; Sciuridae. The record is from RNAcentral.
UUUUUAGUAUAAAUAUGUCCCAUGCACAUUAGCAUAACAUGCAAUAUUUGGGACAUAUUUGUACUAGAA